This 62-nucleotide transfer RNA is filed under the name Sabella spallanzanii. Its description in RNAcentral is "tRNA-Tyr". The record is from RNAcentral. Lineage: Eukaryota; Metazoa; Annelida; Polychaeta; Sabellida; Sabellidae.
UCCAGGGUGGCCGAAGUAAGGUGAAAGACUGUAAAUCUUUUUAUGAAAUUUUUCCCUUGGGA